CUCAGUUCGGACUGGAGUCUGNAACCCGACUCCACGAAGCUGGAUUCGCUAGUAAUCGCGCAUCAGCCAUGGCGCGGUGAAUACGUUCCCGGGCCUUGUACACACCGCCCGUCAAGCCAUGGGAGUCGGGAGUGCCUGAAGUUCGUGACCGUAUAGGAGCGACCUAGGGCAAGACUGAUGACUGGGGCUAAGUCGUAACAAGGUAAC
RNAcentral lists this ribosomal RNA (207 nucleotides) under uncultured bacterium. Its description in RNAcentral is "partial 16S ribosomal RNA". It matches the Rfam family "Bacterial small subunit ribosomal RNA", at positions 1287 to 1500 of the family's 1533-position model. The record is from RNAcentral.